This 253-nucleotide ribosomal RNA is filed under the name uncultured bacterium. Its description in RNAcentral is "partial 16S ribosomal RNA". It matches the Rfam family "Bacterial small subunit ribosomal RNA", at positions 524 to 776 of the family's 1533-position model. The record is from RNAcentral.
UACAGAGGAUGCAAGCGUUAUCCGGAAUGAUUGGGCGUAAAGCGUCUGUAGGUGGCUUUUUAAGUCCGCCGUCAAAUCCCAGGGCUCAACUCUGGACAGGCGGUGGAAACUACCAAGCUGGAGUACGGUAGGGGCAGAGGGAAUUUCCGGUGGAGCGGUGAAAUGCGCAGAUAUCAGGAGGAACACCGGUGGCGAAGGCGGGUCUCUGGGCCGAAACUGACGCUGAGGAGCGAAAGCGUGGGGAGCAAACAGG